RNAcentral lists this ribosomal RNA (497 nucleotides) under uncultured bacterium. RNAcentral describes it as "partial 16S ribosomal RNA". It matches the Rfam family "Bacterial small subunit ribosomal RNA", at positions 28 to 507 of the family's 1533-position model. The record is from RNAcentral.
GAUGAACGCUGGCGGCGUGCCUAAUACAUGCAAGUCGAGCGAACAGACGAGGAGCUUGCUCCUCUGACGUUAGCGGCGGACGGGUGAGUAACACGUGGAUAACCUACCUAUAAGACUGGGAUAACUUCGGGAAACCGGAGCUAAUACCGGAUAAUAUAUUGAACCGCAUGGUUCAAUAGUGAAAGACGGUUUUGCUGUCACUUAUAUAUGGAUCCGCGCCGCAUUAGCUAGUUGGUAAGGUAACGGCUUACCAAGGCAACGAUGCGUAGCCGACCUGAGAGGGUGAUCGGCCACACUGGAACUGAGACACGGUCCAGACUCCUACGGGAGGCAGCAGUAGGGAAUAUUCCGAAAUGGGCGCAAGACUGACGGAGCAACGCCGCGUGAGUGAUGAAGGUCUUCGGAUCGUAAAACUCUGUUAUUAGGGAAGAACAAAUGUGUAAGUAACUAUGCACGUCUUGACGGUACCUAAUCAGAAAGCCACGGCUAGCUACGUG